This 720-nucleotide ribosomal RNA is filed under the name Microbacterium maritypicum. Its description in RNAcentral is "bacterial SSU rRNA". It matches the Rfam family "Bacterial small subunit ribosomal RNA", at positions 68 to 799 of the family's 1533-position model. The record is from RNAcentral. Lineage: Bacteria; Bacillati; Actinomycetota; Actinomycetes; Micrococcales; Microbacteriaceae.
GGUGAACACGGAGCUUGCUCUGUGGGAUCAGUGGCGAACGGGUGAGUAACACGUGAGCAACCUGCCCCUGACUCUGGGAUAAGCGCUGGAAACGGCGUCUAAUACUGGAUAUGUGACGUGAUCGCAUGGUCUGCGUCUGGAAAGAAUUUCGGUUGGGGAUGGGCUCGCGGCCUAUCAGCUUGUUGGUGAGGUAAUGGCUCACCAAGGCGUCGACGGGUAGCCGGCCUGAGAGGGUGACCGGCCACACUGGGACUGAGACACGGCCCAGACUCCUACGGGAGGCAGCAGUGGGGAAUAUUGCACAAUGGGCGCAAGCCUGAUGCAGCAACGCCGCGUGAGGGAUGACGGCCUUCGGGUUGUAAACCUCUUUUAGCAGGGAAGAAGCGAAAGUGACGGUACCUGCAGAAAAAGCGCCGGCUAACUACGUGCCAGCAGCCGCGGUAAUACGUAGGGCGCAAGCGUUAUCCGGAAUUAUUGGGCGUAAAGAGCUCGUAGGCGGUUUGUCGCGUCUGCUGUGAAAUCCGGAGGCUCAACCUCCGGCCUGCAGUGGGUACGGGCAGACUAGAGUGCGGUAGGGGAGAUUGGAAUUCCUGGUGUAGCGGUGGAAUGCGCAGAUAUCAGGAGGAACACCGAUGGCGAAGGCAGAUCUCUGGGCCGUAACUGACGCUGAGGAGCGAAAGGGUGGGGAGCAAACAGGCUUAGAUACCCUGGUAGUCCACC